AUGAGCUUUGACUGGGAAGACCUAUUCCCACUAGUCACAGUCCGUAAACUAGUGAGAGAUGUCAUAGACCACAACCCUUUGUUGUUCACAACAAAUCCCUUGAAAAAAAGUCCCAUGCACCUGCUUGAGUUCAGAUUCGAGCUCAGCUAGUUGAAGAACGAGGAAUUCUAUGCUAAAGCUAAGAUGAUCUGGGAGCAGCCUGUGCAAUCUGAGGACCCUAUUGACAUCCUAAACAUAAAGUUAAAAUGUAUCAAAAAAUACUUUAAAGGAUGGGGUUCCCACCUUUUCGGCCAUGCCAAAAAGAGGAAGAAAUGGGUUAAAAAGGAGCUGGAAGAGAUUGAAAAGAAGGAGGAAGCUGCCCCCCUGGAUCCUGAGACUUAUGAGAGAAGAACCAUAUUGUGUGCUGAGCUCAAUGAUAUUCUGGCUGACGAAGAGCUUUUCUGGCUUCAGCACUCGAACGAGCGAUGGUUACUUAAAGGGGAUCAAAACAUAGCCUAUUUCCAUCGUAUAGCCAAUGGAAAGAAGAUGAAAAACACCAUUCACUCCCUUGCUGAUGGGGAAAUGGUUAUAGAAGGCACUAAAGAUCUUUUGGCUCAUGCAACAUCCUAUUAUAAGGAACUCUUUGGCCCGGCCAGUGGAAAUCUAUUUCACCUCUCUCCUGAAACCUGGUCUAGUGAUGAGAGACUUACUGAAGAUGACAACCUCAUCCUGACUAGUGUGUUCACUGAAGAGGAAGUAAAGAAAUCCCUAUUUAGCAUGGAUAGCAAUAGGGGUUCUGGACCUGAUAAUAUCCCAACUGAGUUUUAUAAACACUACUGGGAUUUUAAUCAAAAAUGA
Molecule: ribosomal RNA, 837 nt
Filed under: Triticum aestivum (bread wheat)
Lineage: Eukaryota; Viridiplantae; Streptophyta; Magnoliopsida; Poales; Poaceae
Description: partial small subunit ribosomal RNA
Source: RNAcentral